GAUGAACGCUAGCUACAGGCUUAACACAUGCAAGUCGAGGGGCAGCAUGGUCUUAGCUUGCUAAGGCCGAUGGCGACCGGCGCACGGGUGAGUAACACGUAUCCAACCUGCCGUCUACUCUUGGACAGCCUUCUGAAAGGAAGAUUAAUACAAGAUGGCAUCAUGAGUCCACAUGUUCACAUGAUUAAAGGUAUUCCGGUAGACGAUGGGGAUGCGUUCCAUUAGAUAGUAGGCGGGGUAACGGCCCACCUAGUCUUCGAUGGAUAGGGGUUCUGAGAGGAAGGUCCCCCACAUUGGAACUGAGACACGGUCCAAACUCCUACGGGAGGCAGCAGUGAGGAAUAUUGGUCAAUGGGCGAGAGCCUGAACCAGCCAAGUAGCGUGAAGGAUGACUGCCCUAUGGGUUGUAAACUUCUUUUAUAAAGGAAUAAAGUCGGGUAUGCAUACCCGUUUGCAUGUACUUUAUGAAUAAGGAUCGGCUAACUCCGUGCCAGCAGCCGCGGUAAUACGGAGGAUCCGAGCGUUAUCCGGAUUUAUUGGGUUUAAAGGGAGCGUAGAUGGAUGUUUAAGUCAGUUGUGAAAGUUUGCGGCUCAACCGUAAAAUUGCAGUUGAUACUGGAUAUCUUGAGUGCAGUUGAGGCAGGCGGAAUUCGUGGUGUAGCGGUGAAAUGCUUAGAUAUCACGAAGAACUCCGAUUGCGAAGGCAGCCUGCUAAGCUGCAACUGACAUUGAGGCUCGAAAGUGUGGGUAUCAAACAGGAUUAGAUACCCUGGUAGUCCACACGGUAAACGAUGAAUACUCGCUGUUUGCGAUAUACAGCAAGCGGCCAAGCGAAAGCGUUAAGUAUUCCACCUGGGGAGUACGCCGGCAACGGUGAAACUCAAAGGAAUUGACGGGGGCCCGCACAAGCGGAGGAACAUGUGGUUUAAUUCGAUGAUACGCGAGGAACCUUACCCGGGCUUAAAUUGCAGAUGAAUUACGGUGAAAGCCGUAAGCCGCAAGGCAUCUGUGAAGGUGCUGCAUGGUUGUCGUCAGCUCGUGCCGUGAGGUGUCGGCUUAAGUGCCAUAACGAGCGCAACCCUUGUUGUCAGUUACUAACAGGUCAUGCUGAGGACUCUGACAAGACUGCCAUCGUAAGAUGUGAGGAAGGUGGGGAUGACGUCAAAUCAGCACGGCCCUUACGUCCGGGGCUACACACGUGUUACAAUGGGGGGUACAGAGGGCCGCUACCACGCGAGUGGAUGCCAAUCCCAAAAACCUCUCUCAGUUCGGACUGGAGUCUGCAACCCGACUCCACGAAGCUGGAUUCGCUAGUAAUCGCGCAUCAGCCACGGCGCGGUGAAUACGUUCCCGGGCCUUGUACACACCGCCCGUCAAGCCAUGGGAGCCGGGGGUACCUGAAGUGCGUAACCGCGAGGAGCGCCCUAGGGUAAAACU
RNAcentral lists this ribosomal RNA (1437 nucleotides) under uncultured organism. RNAcentral describes it as "16S ribosomal RNA". It matches the Rfam family "Bacterial small subunit ribosomal RNA". The record is from RNAcentral.